Fukomys damarensis (Damara mole-rat) is the source of this 437-nucleotide long non-coding RNA. RefSeq lists it as uncharacterized. The transcript is spliced from 5 exons. NCBI's taxonomy places the organism in Eukaryota, Metazoa, Chordata, Mammalia, Rodentia, Bathyergidae. The record is from RefSeq and is a predicted model, not a curated record.
UUAGAGUGCCAUGUGGUCCAUGCCCUGAAACCGUUCUAAUUUUCUUCUCACUGCAUUUUUUCCCUCUUCAGAAUGAAGAGCAGCCGGUGUCCUACAGGAAACUGGUCCGUGAGCUUUCUGAAUGUGGAGCGGAAUGCAAGCCCUGUUUACCCUGGCAUUCGAUGGGAAGAAACACACCCCCAAACUCAUUGGAGAGUCUGGGAAAUUUAAUGGUGAGAGCAUCCCUAGCUCGAUGUUUCCAGCGAUGAUGAAGCUUUUAAGGACAGAGUCUCAUUUUUCAGGAUACUUCAUUUAGGCUAUAUGGUAGAAGAGACUUUUGGAUAAGAAUUAUCCUUUCCUUGAAGCAAAGAAGACACUUAAGAAAGCCAGAAGAAUCCUUGGAGGGACGAUUGGCCUGUAAUAGAGGGAACUGCAGACUGUGCCUGAAUGCGUGAUCC